CCUACGGGUGGCUGCAGUGGGGAAUAUUGCACAAUGGGCGCAAGCCUGAUGCAGCCAUGCCGCGUGUGUGAAGAAGGCCUUCGGGUUGUAAAGCACUUUCAGCGGGGAGGAAGGCGUUAAGGUUAAUAACCUUGGCGAUUGACGUUACCCGCAGAAGAAGCACCGGCUAACUCCGUGCCAGCAGCCGCGGUAAUACGGAGGGUGCAAGCGUUAAUCGGAAUUACUGGGCGUAAAGCGCACGCAGGCGGUCUGUCAAGUCGGAUGUGAAAUCCCCGGGCUCAACCUGGGAACUGCAUUCGAAACUGGCAGGCUAGAGUCUUGUAGAGGGGGGUAGAAUUCCAGGUGUAGCGGUGAAAUGCGUAGAGAUCUGGAGGAAUACCGGUGGCGAAGGCGGCUCUCUGGCCUGUAACUGACGCUGAGGCGCGAAAGCGUGGGGAGCGAACAGGAUUAGAUACCCUAGUAGUC
RNAcentral lists this ribosomal RNA (465 nucleotides) under uncultured Klebsiella sp. Its description in RNAcentral is "bacterial SSU rRNA". It matches the Rfam family "Bacterial small subunit ribosomal RNA", at positions 338 to 795 of the family's 1533-position model. The record is from RNAcentral. Lineage: Bacteria; Pseudomonadati; Pseudomonadota; Gammaproteobacteria; Enterobacterales; Enterobacteriaceae.